CAAAGUUUUCUGUUUAGCCGAUAGGUGCAGCAAUGGAUUUCCUCUCGCGGUGAGCUACUCUCCGAAAGAAGCACGAGGAAUGCCGUUGAUUCCUGAGUUUGCUAAAAUAGAGAGCACCACAUGCUCUUUGACGUUGAAUGGUCCUGGAUUCAAUGUAAAACUCCAUUUGAUUCCUGGAACUUUGAUCAGAGUAGAGGGAAGCAGAGCUGCCAUCAAUUUUCCAACAAGGCCGAGCAUAAUAAUUACAAAAGUCGGAGGGAAGAAGAACACAACCUGGCGAUAACUGGAGAACUCAUUGACGAAAGCCAGAAAUGCACAUGUAAUAGGACCCAGAAGCCAUGUUCGAAAUGUGAAGGUUGGAAGUGUUGAAUCAUCUGUGAUCGGAACUGUCAACCUCACUUGUUCUACCGGUGAAUCGUUGAUUUCAUCAGAAUCCAUCUCCCCUCCACGACUAACUGUUUUGGCUCUGGUAUUGAGUCUGAACAAAAUGAUAAUAAAAUGAAGGAAUUAAUUUUUCACAGAACCAAACCUAGAUAAUUGAGGAACAAUAAUAUUCAUCUUCAUUUCAUAAAUUGAUGACCAAGAUUUUCUUUUUUUACAUGUACGAUGGAGAAAUUAUAGUCUAUAACGGGUAUCUACUCUUGAUAUA
This is a non-coding RNA of Carica papaya (papaya), 649 nucleotides long. The record is from RefSeq and is a predicted model, not a curated record. Lineage: Eukaryota; Viridiplantae; Streptophyta; Magnoliopsida; Brassicales; Caricaceae.